AACGAACGCUGGCGGCAUGCCUAACACAUGCAAGUCGAACGAGACCUUCGGGUCUAGUGGCGCACGGGUGCGUAACGCGUGGGAACCUGCCCUUAGGUUCGGAAUAACUCCCCGAAAGGGGUGCUAAUACCGGAUAAUGUCUUCGGACCAAAGAUUUAUCGCCUUUGGAUGGGCCCGCGUUGGAUUAGCUCGUUGGUAGGGUAAAAGCCUACCAAGGCGACGAUCCAUAGCUGGUCUGAGAGGAUGAUCAGCCACACUGGGACUGAGACACGGCCCAGACUCCUACGGGAAGCAGCAGUGGGGAAUAUUGGACAAUGGGCGAAAGCCUGAUCCAGCAAUGCCGCGUGAGUGAUGAAGGCCUUAGGGUUGUAAAGCUCUUUUACCCGGGAUGAUAAUGACAGUACCGGGAGAAUAAGCUCCGGCUAACUCCGUG
RNAcentral lists this ribosomal RNA (433 nucleotides) under uncultured bacterium. RNAcentral describes it as "partial 16S ribosomal RNA". It matches the Rfam family "Bacterial small subunit ribosomal RNA", at positions 29 to 507 of the family's 1533-position model. The record is from RNAcentral.